Triticum aestivum (bread wheat) is the source of this 482-nucleotide long non-coding RNA. RefSeq lists it as uncharacterized. The transcript is spliced from 2 exons. NCBI's taxonomy places the organism in Eukaryota, Viridiplantae, Streptophyta, Magnoliopsida, Poales, Poaceae. The record is from RefSeq and is a predicted model, not a curated record.
GUUUCCACGCGCUUCAGAACCCUCGAGCCCCCCCUCGAGGAUUUGCUCGCCCGACUCACGCCGCCGCCCGACCCGAGACGCCGCCGCCGCCUCCUCCCAAGACGCCGCCGCCGCCUCCUCCCCAAGACGCCGCGCUGCCUCGACGCCGGCAAUCUCCUCCGGCAUACUGGACUUCUCCCCGGUGGUCCCACUGAACCAGACGUUUGCAGGGUCCCUCGAAAUCGUCUGUUUGAGAGUCUCCUCGGUUGCUUUUGUGUCUGCGCUAUUGCUGACUUGUAGUUGGAAUUUAUGCUCCUGUCAUGUACUCUCUUCCAACAAUCGCUGUAGAACAUCAAGUGAUGCUUUUCUCUAUGUUGCAUAAAUAGUUCAGCAUGCUUAUGUAUUCUCAGCAUCCUUGAAUGUACGCAUGUCUUGCCUGGGACUUGUGAAUGCCGAGAACCUACGAGACAUUUUUGGUUCUAAGUCAUGCUGAUGUGAGAGAA